UGGUUCAGGAGACAAACGUGUGCAAUCCUCAUUUCUAAAGUCAGCACAGCCUGGAAGGAUUCCUGGUCUCUCCCACCUUCUACCACUCUGCUGCCAGGGACAGCAAGGAUUGGUGCAGCUUCUGCGCAGUGCUUUGUGCCUGGAAUGCCGAAAAGGAGGAAAGAGAAGACAAGCGCCGGGGUCCUUUUUUCCAAGAAGUUACAAGAGCCCUGAAGAAAAAAAAAUCAAAACCAAAAAACGGAGUAUGUCCCACUCCAUGCAACAGUGAUGAAAAAAAAUGAGACGUUCCUGCUCAAAAACAAAAACAAACAAAAAUCUAAACCAAAACAAACCAAAAAAAAAAGCAAACAUUGGCUUGUAUAACUACAGAGACAUCGAGCUUUGUAAAGCAGCUUUGUAAGGCAACAUAAGCAAAUGAGCCUUCUUAUUUUUAUUAUUUCAAAAAUAUGGCAUAAUUAGCAGUAUAUUGCACUUGGUGAAAUCGCACCUUUCAUAUCAGGGAAAAACUUAACAUGGAAUGAGAAGUGAAGAAAGUGAUCAUAGGAGAAAAUCACCUCAGAUCAACCACUUCAGAAGAACCAGAUUCCACUUCUGUGGCCAGGACUUUUAUGUUAUGGCUGGUCCGAUUGUUUUACCCUGCGUUCUAUGCUACUAAACCUUGGAUCAUUCCUAAAGUACAAAUUCUGUUCUCCAACCACAAACAAGGCUAAAAGAUCGGAGGAAAUUCAGUGAAUGUACAGGAUUGGGAUUGUGCAUUUUUCAAAAGUACUGAGCUUUCGAAUGCAACUAUAUAAGAAAUAGGAUCCUUUUUUUUUAUGUUGCUAGCAUUUUAAGUUACAUGUUUAUUAAGUGGCAUUGCUCAUAUAGCUACAGAGUAUGCAUGGAAAUAUUCGCUGUCUGAAUAGUUUGGAGACUCAAAGAGAAAACUCAAGCUUCAGAGGUAUUAA
This is a long non-coding RNA of Phyllostomus hastatus (greater spear-nosed bat), 947 nucleotides long. RefSeq lists it as uncharacterized. The transcript has 3 exons. NCBI's taxonomy places the organism in Eukaryota, Metazoa, Chordata, Mammalia, Chiroptera, Phyllostomidae. The record is from RefSeq and is a predicted model, not a curated record.